This is a long non-coding RNA of Papaver somniferum (opium poppy), 1678 nucleotides long. RefSeq lists it as uncharacterized. The record is from RefSeq and is a predicted model, not a curated record. The transcript is spliced from 6 exons. Lineage: Eukaryota; Viridiplantae; Streptophyta; Magnoliopsida; Ranunculales; Papaveraceae.
CAAAUGUAUCUAUUCAAUAAAACACUGAUCCUUUUUUGGUUUGAAUCCUUAAUUUUUUUGUAGAUUUUGAAUUUGACGGAAAACCCUAAGUUUUAUUGGAUUAGACAGGCUUUUCACUGGAAAAUAUAUUUGCUUUAAAUUUUUUUACUUAUAACCUUCUUUUAUGGUGAGCUAUGCUUGACAUUCAUGUACUUGGGUCUAUCUCAGUUUUUCUUACACUUUCUUGUUAGAAUUUGUGCUCAUUGCUCGCUUAGAUGAUGCGUUCUGUGUUUCAUCUAUCUGAAUUCGUUAGAUUGGCUCUCGUGUUCUAGUCAUAUUUAGAUAAUUGCUUCGCAUUGUUGUUUUGGUUGUUGAGUUUUCUCUUUAAUUAUUUGUUCUAAUCAGUUACUGCAGGUAAUAUCAUGAAGGAUCUUCUACAAGAAUUUCGUACAUGGGACACAUUUGAGGAUAUGGAAAAGGGUUUCUGUGGUUAUCUCAGCCAACUGCCAGAACUGCCACAAAAAACGGAAGUGCGUGAUCAAGAAAAAUUAAUCAAGGAUAUGAAGACACUACACGCUAUUCUCAAAUUCAUGUUCGAAGCUAUCAAUAAAGAAUACUAUGAUGCUGAAUUGAAUUAAUUGACAAGCAUCCUUACGUUGUUGAUCUGCCAUGCUUCGAAGAACUAUUUUCUUACAAACAAAAAUCAAGUUUCGAACUGUACCGAGAAGUAGUAGCUGAGAACAAACGCAGGAUGAUGUUUUACAAAGUUGAUGAACAGCGUGUUAGGGAUUUGCAAGCAAAACUACAAGAGGCUGAGGACAAGUGUACACCGCUAUUUAGACAGCUGAAACAACUUGGCGCGGUGAGAGGCUGUGUGAAGUGUUCCAUCCGUUCUCUGGAAUUGGAUCUCGACAGCAGGAGUAAGCCAUCAUUUGGCUAUGCCGAGCAAAUUGAAUUCAUGCGUAAAACUCUUGGUAUCUAGCCUUUUCUUUUGUUGGGAUCUUUAUUGCCACAUCUCAAGCUAGCCGGAGAAAUAUGUGCAUGAAUAGUUGGUGAUAAGUUUGAUCUUUAAGUUGGAAAGAUGUGUUGGAGCUAUUGCUCGGUUAAGGCCUUGUCAGGUCAGUUGCUCGUUUCAGAGAAAAGAAGGAAAGCUACAGUUCAACUCAUCUUUUCCCCAUGGCGGCGACAUUCCCUCAAAUGCAAGUAAGAAGCAGUUCUUUCUAUUAAAAGACAACCGAGUGAAGAGAUACUAUGAGAAUAAUGAGAAAAUCUCAAUCAUUACAACUUACUUGUUUUCCAAGAAGAGUAUUGCAUAUAAAAAUUGUGAAGAUUUAGUCAUCCACUGUGCUCAUGUCAGAAAAUCUAUCUCUUGCAACAUUGUUAUUAACGGUAGAUUCAUACAAGUGGCAAUUUAUCUCAGACUGCCUAAAGCACUAUUUACAUGCAAAGAUUGUGUUUAUAACAACCCUCUGGAAGAUCAAGCUUGCUACAACACCCUCAGUAGAAAGAAACACAAAGCUUUUAAAAAAAACUUUCAGCACUGAUAAAGAUCAAAAUUUUCAUCUCUGGUUUACUCAUUUCAUCAAAAAAAUUCUGAUAUUCCAACAGACAAUUAUAUUGCUCAUCUCAUUAGUUUUCUAGAAGAUCAAUACAACCCUCUCACGGUUUCUUUCAGAUACUAUAUUGAAUUCCUUCGUAC